Molecule: small nuclear RNA, 151 nt
Filed under: Peromyscus maniculatus bairdii (prairie deer mouse)
Lineage: Eukaryota; Metazoa; Chordata; Mammalia; Rodentia; Cricetidae
Description: U1 spliceosomal RNA (ENSPEMG00000002317.2)
Rfam family: U1 spliceosomal RNA
About the family: U1 is a small nuclear RNA (snRNA) component of the spliceosome (involved in pre-mRNA splicing). Its 5' end forms complementary base pairs with the 5' splice junction, thus defining the 5' donor site of an intron.
Source: RNAcentral
AACAGGGGGAAGAACACCAUGAUCACAAGGUGGUUUCCCAGGUGAGAGCUCAUCCAUUGCCCUCCAAUGUGCUGACCCCUGGAUUUCCCCAAAUGUGGGAAACUUAGCUGCAUAAUUUGCGGUAGUGGGCAGCUGCAUUCACACUCUCCUA